CAGGGAGAGAGAGAGAGAGACAGAGAGAGGCAGAGAGAGGCAGAGGGAGAGAGCUCCACGGGGAAAGCCCAUGAUGGGCUUUCUCUCCCAGGGCUGCGAACAGCCAGGGUCCCUUUGUGGAAUGUGGACCUGCUCAGAAGACAAGUCACCUGCCAGCUCUCUGGUCACUGGAGAAUAAAGAAGGGUUUGGCGGGAAGGACAGAGGGGGAAGCACACCCUUGGCCUGUGGCUUGCACAGCCAGCGUGUUUUCUUUGACAUUGGACGUGAUAUUUUUCAAACUGUGUUGUUUCAGUGGGAGAAGAGAUGGGGGUCGGGGUGCUGGGCAGAAACCUCUGCCCCCUAUGGUUCCUUCCCACCAAGUCCUCCCUGGAACCUGUAGUGAAGGAGACACAGCCCAGGCCCCCGGGGUUUCCGCAGCCCUGGAGAUCCCGCUGCCUGCACGUCCGUGGACUCUGUAGGGGAUCAGCUCAAGAAUAAACGGUGACCAGAUUCAUCAAGUGCAUUGAAUUCACCUCCUGGGUCCUCCAUCUUUUCCAGUUGCCGCCCAAGGGUGGAACCUGCAGCAGAAUUUCAUGGCUUCAAAAAAGAAGAUACUUUCUGUUUAUGAGCAGGAAAGCAUGUCACUGCGGAGUUGGAGG
This is a long non-coding RNA of Orcinus orca (killer whale), 639 nucleotides long. RefSeq lists it as uncharacterized. The record is from RefSeq and is a predicted model, not a curated record. NCBI's taxonomy places the organism in Eukaryota, Metazoa, Chordata, Mammalia, Artiodactyla, Delphinidae. The transcript is spliced from 3 exons.